Long non-coding RNA from Haliotis rubra (blacklip abalone), 509 nucleotides. RefSeq lists it as uncharacterized. The transcript is spliced from 3 exons. The record is from RefSeq and is a predicted model, not a curated record. Lineage: Eukaryota; Metazoa; Mollusca; Gastropoda; Lepetellida; Haliotidae.
CAUGCUGUGAUCACACAAGAAGGUUUUGGAUGCUCGCCAGCCGCAUUGAACAUCGGAGAUAGGGAUGAUUCUUGCUCCGAAUAAUCGUGUCUUCUUUAUACAGUAUAAACAGAAUUCCAUGUAGAAGGUCCACCAUAUUUGAACAGAAUGACUGUCUAGUUGAUAAUGUGGACAGCAUGCUUGGUAAUGGCUACAGAAGCUGUUCCAUGCCAUUACACCCAUCACUGUUCAGACUGUGACAGAGAGACGGGAGAUUGCCUCACUGAGUGUGACACUGGGUAUUACGAUCCACAAUGCAACUCUACCUGCAGCCGGAACUGUAGGAAUAACACAUGUGUGAUGUCAGAACAUGCUAGCGAUGACUGCACUGAGGGUUGUGUGCCAGGUUAUUCUGGCAUUGGGUGCAACAUACCAUGUGACAGUCCAGGAGGUAGCUGUACAGCAUGUCCAGGUGGUUGCGAUGGAGGAUAUUGUCAGCUGGGGUCAUCCUGUGUGUCUGGAUGUGUAAA